This 253-nucleotide ribosomal RNA is filed under the name uncultured bacterium. RNAcentral's name for it is "partial 16S ribosomal RNA". It matches the Rfam family "Bacterial small subunit ribosomal RNA", at positions 526 to 779 of the family's 1533-position model. The record is from RNAcentral.
CGUAGGGUGCAAGCGUUAAUCGGAAUUACUGGGCGUAAAGCGUGCGCAGGCGGCUUUGCAAGACAGAUGUGAAAUCCCCGGGCUCAACCUGGGAACUGCAUUUGUGACUGCAUGGCUAGAGUACGGUAGAGGGGGAUGGAAUUCCGCGUGUAGCAGUGAAAUGCGUAGAUAUGCGGAGGAACACCGAUGGCGAAGGCAAUCCCCUGGACCUGUACUGACGCUCAUGCACGAAAGCGUGGGAGCAAACAGGAUU